This 85-nucleotide microRNA precursor is filed under the name Fragaria vesca subsp. vesca. RNAcentral describes it as "Fragaria vesca miR11311 stem-loop (fve-MIR11311)". The record is from miRBase by way of RNAcentral. Lineage: Eukaryota; Viridiplantae; Streptophyta; Magnoliopsida; Rosales; Rosaceae.
UAAAUGCCGAGAUCCACGUCAUUCUCAUCCACGAUAGUUCGUCAAGGGCUUGUAAGGAUGAGAAUGAUGUGGAUCUCAGCAUUUA